GUCCCCUAGCGGAGACAUCCUAUAAAAUUGGAACGAUAUAGAGAAGAUUAGUAUGACCCGUGCAAGGAUGACACGCAUAAAUAGAGAAUUUGGAAUCUCUGAU
This is a small nuclear RNA of Quercus robur (English oak), 103 nucleotides long. Lineage: Eukaryota; Viridiplantae; Streptophyta; Magnoliopsida; Fagales; Fagaceae. The record is from RefSeq and is a predicted model, not a curated record.